RNAcentral lists this ribosomal RNA (523 nucleotides) under uncultured bacterium. RNAcentral describes it as "partial 16S ribosomal RNA". The record is from RNAcentral.
GGAGUUAGCCGGUGCUUCUUCUGUGAGUGAUGUCCUUCCUGCCGGCUAUUAACCCGCAGGCCUUCUUCCUCACUGAAAGUGCUUUACAACCCGAAGGCCUUCUUCACACACGCGGCAUGGCUGGAUCAGGGUUGCCCCCAUUGUCCAAUAUUCCCCACUGCUGCCUCCCGUAGGAGUCUGGGCCGUGUCUCAGUCCCAAUGUGGCCGUCCAACCUCUCAGUCCGGCUACCGAUCGUUGGUUUGGUGAGCCAUUACCUCACCAACUGCCUAAUCGGACGCGAGCCCAUCCUCAAGCGGAUUUCUCCUUUGACCCCUUCGCCACUCGGCGUUGUGGUCUUAUGCGGUAUUAGCACCUAUUUCUAAGUGUUAUCCCCCUCUUGAGGGCAGGUUGCUCACGUGUUACUCACCCGUUCGCCACUGAUCCAUCGCUUCCGCACCCGAAGGUGCUUCCGCAAUUUCUCCGUUCGACUUGCAUGUGUUAAGCGCGCCGCCAGCGUUGUCCUGAGCCAUAAUCAAACUCUGA